This is a long non-coding RNA of Pseudopipra pipra, 474 nucleotides long. RefSeq lists it as uncharacterized. NCBI's taxonomy places the organism in Eukaryota, Metazoa, Chordata, Aves, Passeriformes, Pipridae. The transcript has 3 exons. The record is from RefSeq and is a predicted model, not a curated record.
GUGGGAAUGAGGCUUUUCAGUGUGCGGGGUGGAGCCUUACGGCAUGAAGUGCCCCAAACAACGUGUCCCUUUUAGUGAUUAUUAUUAAUAUUAUCAGAAUUAUUAAAGUCUAUGAAUUCCAAAUAGUUCCCAGUUAGCGAUGCUGCGUGGUUCGGUCGCAGCAGCGCUAACGUGUCGGUGGCAUGUUGGUACAGCGCAAUCUCGGCUCAUUUUCUCUGAGCAAUACAAGUUCACGGACGAGCUACCUAGCCAGCCCUCCUCUCCUGUCAUGGACCUCCCAGACUACUGCGCGCCGGCCGCCCUCUGAGAAGGCUCCUUCGCCCCGCGCGGAGGAGGAGAAGGGGAGGAAGGCGCGGUCCCAGCCGCCGCUGCCCAGCCGCCGUCCCGCAGAGCGCUGGCCGCGGGGCGCCGCGGCGGCAGCAGGCGCGCAGCCCCCUCCGCCUGCCCGCGCCCGCCCGCCCGCGGCGGCGGCGC